CUCGUAGGUGGCCAACUAAGUCGGACGUGAAAUCCCUCGGCUUAACCGGGGAACUGCGUCCGAUACUGGUUGGCUUGAGUUUGGGAGAGGGAUGCGGAAUUCCAGGUGUAGCGGUGAAAUGCGUAGAUAUCUGGAGGAACACCGGUGGCGAAGGCGGCAUCCUGGACCAAUACUGACGCUGAGGAGCGAAAGCCAGGGGGAGCAAACG
This 208-nucleotide ribosomal RNA is filed under the name uncultured bacterium. Its description in RNAcentral is "partial 16S ribosomal RNA". It matches the Rfam family "Bacterial small subunit ribosomal RNA", at positions 568 to 774 of the family's 1533-position model. The record is from RNAcentral.